CCUGUUCUAACAUUUUUUUAAUUACAAACAAAAUACAGUGUUAAUUCUGAAAAAAAUAAACACUGGAGUAUUAAGCCAAAAGUGUAAAUGCUUUGAAUCACUACUUCUAAAUUACCUAACAAUGUUUCAGCAUCUCUACUUCCCAUUAAAAAAAAUAAAAUAAAUUAAAAAUCACGACAAACACAGAGGAAUCGGUAGGCAAAUUGAAAUGUGGAAUAAUGCUUACGUGUAGAAGGGAACUGUGACUCUCAUGAAGAAUCUUAUGGAUGUCUGAAGGCAACGUCCAGGGACUCACCACAGUCUCCUCUCUCUCAUAUUCUACAGACAUCUGCUUGGUGUGAGGUACAAGUCCAGUCCCUCCAUGAUUUUCUCUAUGCUGAUGUCUACCACAUGGAGCAAUAGACCCUUCAAGGGCAAAGAACAGAAGUGGACACUGGAAAUAAUUCAUUUUAAUGGGAACCUCCACGUCCAGAGAGUCCAGGGAGGAGAGGCCACAGAUAUAAUGGAAUUACAACAUCAUGAGGUGACAUCACCAAGACAGUGACUGAAGAUGUUAUUUGCUUCAAUCAAUAGAGGAACAACUAUCAGGAACAGGACAACACUGAGAGAACCCCACAGCAGAGUGGCAAAGGCUGAAGCACCCCGACACCUCAGAGACCAACACAGACUGCCUCAGAACUGAUGCCAAGGAGAGCCACGCGAUGGUGUGACAGAA
Long non-coding RNA from Talpa occidentalis (Iberian mole), 715 nucleotides. RefSeq lists it as uncharacterized. The transcript has 3 exons. Lineage: Eukaryota; Metazoa; Chordata; Mammalia; Eulipotyphla; Talpidae. The record is from RefSeq and is a predicted model, not a curated record.